RNAcentral lists this ribosomal RNA (359 nucleotides) under Paenibacillus aquistagni. Its description in RNAcentral is "bacterial SSU rRNA". It matches the Rfam family "Bacterial small subunit ribosomal RNA", at positions 1 to 344 of the family's 1533-position model. Lineage: Bacteria; Bacillati; Bacillota; Bacilli; Caryophanales; Paenibacillaceae. The record is from RNAcentral.
UUUAUGGAGAGUUUGAUCCUGGCUCAGGACGAACGCUGGCGGCGUGCCUAAUACAUGCAAGUCGAGCGGAGUCUUACACUUUCUUCGGAAAGUGUUUGGCUUAGCGGCGGACGGGUGAGUAACACGUAGGUAACCUGCCCAUAAGACUGGGAUAACUCACGGAAACGUGAGCUAAUACCAGAUAGGCAUCUUCUUCGCAUGAAGGAGAUGAGAAAGACGGUUUCGGCUGUCACUUAUGGAUGGACCUGCGGCGCAUUAGCUAGUUGGUGAGGUAACGGCUCACCAAGGCGACGAUGCGUAGCCGACCUGAGAGGGUGAUCGGCCACACUGGGACUGAGACACGGCCCAGACUCCUACGG